Molecule: ribosomal RNA, 341 nt
Filed under: uncultured Sphingobacteriales bacterium
Lineage: Bacteria; Pseudomonadati; Bacteroidota; Sphingobacteriia; Sphingobacteriales
Description: bacterial SSU rRNA
Rfam family: Bacterial small subunit ribosomal RNA
Source: RNAcentral
UGCAUGGUUGUCGUCAGCUCGUGCCGUGAGGUGUCGGGUUAGGUCCCAUAACGAGCGCAACCCCUAUCAUUAGUUGCCAUCAGGUCAAGCUGGGGACUCUAAUGAAACUGCCUACGCAAGUAGUGAGGAAGGUGGGGAUGACGUCAAAUCAGCACGGCCCUUACGUCCAGGGCUACACACGUGCUACAAUGGCCGAUACAGAGGGCAGCUACCUGGUGACAGGAUGCAAAUCUCCAAAAGUCGGUCUCAGUUCGGAUCGGAGUCUGCAACCCGACUCCGUGAAGUUGGAUUCGCUAGUAAUCGCGCAUCAGCCAUGGCGCGGUGAAUACGUUCCCGGCCUU